RNAcentral lists this ribosomal RNA (331 nucleotides) under uncultured Bolidomonas. RNAcentral describes it as "partial Bacterial large subunit ribosomal RNA". It matches the Rfam family "Bacterial large subunit ribosomal RNA", at positions 672 to 1001 of the family's 2925-position model. Lineage: Eukaryota; Bolidophyceae. The record is from RNAcentral.
CGAAAGCGAGUCUGAAUAGGGCGACUGAGUUGCACGGAUUAGACCCGAAACCGAGUGAUCUAGCCAUGGGCAGGUUGAAGGUGCGGUAACACGCACUGGAGGACCGAACCAUUUAAUGUUGAAAAAUUAUUGGAUGAGUUGUGUUUAGGGGUGAAAGGCCAAUCAAGCCGGGAAAUAGCUGGUUCUCCGCGAAAGCUAUUUAGGUAGCGCGUCUAGUCUCACCUUCGGGGGUAGAGCACUGGAUGGGGAAGGGGGGAGCGAUCCUUACCGACUCUAACCAAACUCCGAAUACCGAAGAGUGCAAUCUAGGCAGACAGACGGCGGGUGCUAA